GGAAAGACACCACCAGGCUUGGGAUCUGCGGCUCAAUUUGACUCAACACGGGGAAGCUAACCCGGUCCGGACACAGGGAGGAUUGACAGAUUGAGAGCUCUUUCUUGAUUCUGUGAGGAGUGGUGCAUGGCCGUCCAUAGUUGGUGGAGUGAUUUGUCUGCUUAAUUGCGAUAACGAACGAAAUCCCAACCUGCUAAAUAGGCGACCCGUUCCUCUGUUAGAGACGGGCGACCUUCUUCUUAGAGGGACCGGCGGCGUUCAGCCGCACGAGACGGGGCCAUGACAGGUCUGGAAUGCCCUCAGAUGUCCGGGGCCGCACGCGCGUCACAUUGGAGGGAGCAGCGUGUGCUCUCCUGGCCCGACAGGGUCGGGUAACCCGCUUAACCCCCUCCGUGCUUGGGACAGCCGUUUGUAACUUUCCGGCUCGAACGAGGAAAGCCUAGUAAGCGCGACUCAUCAAGUCGUGUUGACUCAGUCCCUGUCUUUUGUCCACACCGCCCGUCGCUAUACCCGAUGGGGCGAAUUAGUGAGUUCUUCGGACCGGAGACUCGGGGCACGGCCUUCGGGUCACCGUCCCGGGGCACCGGGAAGACGAGCAAACUUGUCCGCCUAGAGGAGAUAAA
This 623-nucleotide ribosomal RNA is filed under the name Scharffia chinja. RNAcentral's name for it is "bacterial SSU rRNA". It matches the Rfam family "Eukaryotic small subunit ribosomal RNA", at positions 1158 to 1786 of the family's 1831-position model. Lineage: Eukaryota; Metazoa; Arthropoda; Arachnida; Araneae; Cyatholipidae. The record is from RNAcentral.